Molecule: ribosomal RNA, 409 nt
Filed under: Acinetobacter baumannii OIFC032
Lineage: Bacteria; Pseudomonadati; Pseudomonadota; Gammaproteobacteria; Moraxellales; Moraxellaceae
Description: bacterial SSU rRNA
Rfam family: Bacterial small subunit ribosomal RNA
Source: RNAcentral
AUUGAACGCUGGCGGCAGGCUUAACACAUGCAAGUCGAGCGGGGGAAGGUAGCUUGCUACUGGACCUAGCGGCGGACGGGUGAGUAAUGCUUAGGAAUCUGCCUAUUAGUGGGGGACAACAUCUCGAAAGGGAUGCUAAUACCGCAUACGUCCUACGGGAGAAAGCAGGGGAUCUUCGGACCUUGCGCUAAUAGAUGAGCCUAAGUCGGAUUAGCUAGUUGGUGGGGUAAAGGCCUACCAAGGCGACGAUCUGUAGCGGGUCUGAGAGGAUGAUCCGCCACACUGGGACUGAGACACGGCCCAGACUCCUACGGGAGGCAGCAGUGGGGAAUAUUGGACAAUGGGGGGAACCCUGAUCCAGCCAUGCCGCGUGUGUGAAGAAGGCCUUAUGGUUGUAAAGCACUUUAAG